RNAcentral lists this ribosomal RNA (409 nucleotides) under uncultured bacterium. Its description in RNAcentral is "bacterial SSU rRNA". It matches the Rfam family "Bacterial small subunit ribosomal RNA", at positions 28 to 433 of the family's 1533-position model. The record is from RNAcentral.
GACGAACGCUGGCGGCGUGCUUAACACAUGCAAGUGGAGCGACGAACCAGGCUUCGGCCUGGGGCAGAGCCGCGAACGGGUGAGUAACACGUGGGUAACCUGCCUCGAUGACCGGGACAACCCGAGGAAACCCGGGCUAAUACCGGAUGUGCUCCUUCACAUCAGUGAAGACAGGAAAGGAGCUUCGGCCUCCGCAUCGAGAUGGGCCCGCGGCCCAUUAGCUUGUUGGUGAGGAACGGCUCACCAAGGCUGCGAUGGGUAGCUGGUCUGAGAGGACGAUCAGCCACACUGGGACUGAGACACGGCCCAGACUCCUACGGAGGCAGCAGUGGGGAAUCUUGCGCAAUGCGCGAAAGCGUGACGCAGCAACGCCGCGUGGGGGAAGACGGGCUUUCGGGUUGUAAACCCC